UUUGAGUGAGUGGCGAACUGGUGAGUAACACGUGGGAAACCUGCCCAGAAGCGGGGGAUAACACCUGGAAACAGAUGCUAAUACCGCAUAACAACUUGGACCGCAUGGUCCGAGCUUGAAAGAUGGCUUCGGCUAUCACUUUUGGAUGGUCCCGCGGCGUAUUAGCUAGAUGGUGGGGUAACGGCUCACCAUGGCAAUGAUACGUAGCCGACCUGAGAGGGUAAUCGGCCACAUUGGGACUGAGACACGGCCCAAACUCCUACGGGAGGCAGCAGUAGGGAAUCUUCCACAAUGGACGAAAGUCUGAUGGAGCAACGCCGCGUGAGUGAAGAAGGGUUUCGGCUCGUAAAACUCUGUUGUUAAAGAAGAACAUAUCUGAGAGUAACUGUUCAGGUAUUGACGGUAUUUAACCAGAAAGCCACGGCUAACUACGUGCCAGCAGCCGCGGUAAUACGUAGGUGGCAAGCGUUGUCCGGAUUUAUUGGGCGUAAAGCGAGCGCAGGCGGUUUUUUAAGUCUGAUGUGAAAGCCUUCGGCUCAACCGAAGAAGUGCAUCGGAAACUGGGAAACUUGAGUGCAGAAGAGGACAGUGGAACUCCAUGUGUAGCGGUGAAAUGCGUAGAUAUAUGGAAGAACACCAGUGGCGAAGGCGGCUGUCUGGUCUGUAACUGACGCUGAGGCUCGAAAGUAUGGGUAGCAAACAGGAUUAGAUACCCUGGUAGUCCAUACCGUAAACGAUGAAUGCUAAGUGUUGGAGGGUUUCCGCCCUUCAGUGCUGCAGCUAACGCAUUAAGCAUUCCGCCUGGGGAGUACGGCCGCAAGGCUGAAACUCAAAGGAAUUGACGGGGGCCCGCACAAGCGGUGGAGCAUGUGGUUUAAUUCGAAGCUACGCGAAGAACCUUACCAGGUCUUGACAUACUAUGCAAAUCUAAGAGAUUAGACGUUCCCUUCGGGGACAUGGAUACAGGUGGUGCAUGGUUGUCGUCAGCUCGUGUCGUGAGAUGUUGGGUUAAGUCCCGCAACGAGCGCAACCCUUAUUAUCAGUUGCCAGCAUUAAGUUGGGCACUCUGGUGAGACUGCCGGUGACAAACCGGAGGAAGGUGGGGAUGACGUCAAAUCAUCAUGCCCCUUAUGACCUGGGCUACACACGUGCUACAAUGGAUGGUACAACGAGUUGCGAACUCGCGAGAGUAAGCUAAUCUCUUAAAGCCAUUCUCAGUUCGGAUUGUAGGCUGCAACUCGCCUACAUGAAGUCGGAAUCGCUAGUAAUCGCGGAUCAGCAUGCCGCGGUGAAUACGUUCCCGGGCCUUGUACACACCGCCCGUCACACCAUGAGAGUUUGUAACACCCAAAGUCGGUGGGGUAACCUUUUAGGAACCAGCCGCCUAAGGUGGGACAGAUGAUUAGGGUGAAGUCGUAACAAGGUAGCCGUAGGAGAACCUGCGGUUGGAUA
RNAcentral lists this ribosomal RNA (1452 nucleotides) under Lactiplantibacillus plantarum. RNAcentral's name for it is "Lactobacillus plantarum partial 16S rRNA". It matches the Rfam family "Bacterial small subunit ribosomal RNA". The record is from RNAcentral. Lineage: Bacteria; Bacillati; Bacillota; Bacilli; Lactobacillales; Lactobacillaceae.